This 505-nucleotide ribosomal RNA is filed under the name Clostridium botulinum. Its description in RNAcentral is "bacterial LSU rRNA". It matches the Rfam family "Bacterial large subunit ribosomal RNA", at positions 389 to 891 of the family's 2925-position model. Lineage: Bacteria; Bacillati; Bacillota; Clostridia; Eubacteriales; Clostridiaceae. The record is from RNAcentral.
AAAACUUCGAGAUCUAAUCCAGAGUACCACGAGACACGUGAAACCUUGUGGGAAGCAGGGAGGACCACCUCCCAAGGCUAAAUACUACCUAGUGACCGAUAGUGAAGCAGUACCGUGAGGGAAAGGUGAAAAAGAACCCCGGAAGGGGGAGUGAAAUAGAACCUGAAACCGUGUGCCUACAACCGAUCGGAGCACGUUAAAGUGUGACGAUGUGCUUUUUUGUAGAACGAGCCAGCGAGUUACGCUAUGUAGCAAGGUUAAGUACUUAAGGUAUGGAGCCGAAGGGAAACCGAGUCUGAAAAGGGCGAAAAGUUGCAUGGUGUAGACCCGAAACCGGGUGACCUAUCCAUGGCCAGGUUGAAGCGAGAGUAAAAUCUCGUGGAGGACCGAACCACGUUGGUGUUGAAAAACCAUGGGAUGAGCUGUGGAUAGCGGAGAAAUUCCAAUCGAACUCGGAGAUAGCUGGUUCUCCUCGAAAUAGCUUUAGGGCUAGCGUCGUGUAAUU